GAUGAAGAACGCAGCGAAAUGCGAUACUUGGUGUGAAUUGCAGAAUCCCGUGAACCAUCGAGUCUUUGAACGCAAGUUGCGCCCGAAGCCAUUAGGCCGAGGGCACGCCUGCCUGGGCGUCACACGUCGUUGCCCCCCCAUCUACUCCUUCGGGAUUGUGGGGGGCGGAUGAUGGCCUCCCGUGCGCCUCGUCGCGCGGUUGGCCUAAAUGCCAAGUCCUCGGCGACGCACGCCACGACAAUCGGUGGUUGCGAAACCUCGGUUGCCUGUCGUGUGCGGUCGUCGCGCAUCGAGGGCUCGAAAAAAUUGCCGGGCUUCGGCUCGACUUUCAACGCGACCCCAGGUCAGGCGGGGUUACCCGCUGAAUUUAAGCAUAUCAAUAAGCGGAGGA
RNAcentral lists this unclassified non-coding RNA (391 nucleotides) under soil metagenome. RNAcentral's name for it is "partial contains 5.8S ribosomal RNA, internal transcribed spacer 2, and large subunit ribosomal RNA". The stretch from base 1 to 122 matches the Rfam family "5.8S ribosomal RNA", at positions 35 to 154 of the family's 154-position model. The record is from RNAcentral.